AAGCAGGUUUCCUCAACUGACAUACCCGUGCAACUUGAAGUUUCGCCUGGUCUUUCCAGGUCUAGAGAGACGACACUUUGUACUGAACCCAACUCCACGAUUGGUCUACUGGCGGGUGCUAGUAAUGGCUUUGUUGCUUCGUAGCGGAGCAUGCAAGCCGCGGGAACUCCCCCUUGGUGACAAGGACCCGCGGGGCCAAAAGCCACGUUCUCUGAACCUUGCAUGUGUGCAACCCCAGCACGGUGACACUGUUGUGAAACACACUUUAAGGUAACACUGAGACUGGUACUUGGUUUCUGGAGACAGGCUAAGGAUGCCCUUCAGGUACCCCGAGGUAACAAGAGACACUCGGGAUCUGAGAAGGGGACUGGGGCUUCUUUAAAAGCGCCCAGUUUAAAAAGCUUCUAUGCCUGAAUAGGUGACCGGAGGCCGGCACCUUUUCCUUUAUACAAAACCAUUU
RNAcentral lists this non-coding RNA (460 nucleotides) under Foot-and-mouth disease virus SAT 1. RNAcentral describes it as "Foot-and-mouth disease virus - type SAT 1 Aphthovirus internal ribosome entry site (IRES)". It matches the Rfam family "Aphthovirus internal ribosome entry site (IRES)". Rfam says of the family: IRES elements allow cap and end-independent translation of mRNA in the host cell. The IRES achieves this by mediating the internal initiation of translation by recruiting a ribosomal 43S pre-initiation complex directly to the initiation codon and eliminates the requirement for eIF4F. Lineage: Riboviria; Orthornavirae; Pisuviricota; Pisoniviricetes; Picornavirales; Picornaviridae. The record is from Rfam by way of RNAcentral.